This 336-nucleotide unclassified non-coding RNA is filed under the name soil metagenome. RNAcentral's name for it is "partial contains 5.8S ribosomal RNA, internal transcribed spacer 2, and large subunit ribosomal RNA". The stretch from base 1 to 120 matches the Rfam family "5.8S ribosomal RNA", at positions 35 to 154 of the family's 154-position model. The record is from RNAcentral.
GAUGAAGAACGUAGUGAAAUGCGAUAAGUAAUGUGAAUUGCAGAAUUCAGUGAAUCAUCGAAUCUUUGAACGCACAUUGCGCACGCCAGUAUUCUGGCGGGCAUGCCUGUUCGAGCGUCAUUUCAACCAUCAAGCCCCCGGCUUGUGUUGGGGACCUGCGGCUGCCGCAGGCCCUGAAAAGCAGUGGCGGGCUCGCUGUCACACCGAGCGUAGUAGCAUACAUCUCGCUCUGGGCGUGCUGCGGGUUCCGGCCGUUAAACCACCUUCAUAACCCAAGGUUGACCUCGGAUCAGGUAGGAAGACCCGCUGAACUUAAGCAUAUCAAUAAGCGGAGGA